AGGAUCAAGCCUCUUUAUCACAUAUGAGUAUUCUGUAUAUGAACAUUCAAGGCAACAGUUGCAACCGCUAGCGCAAACACUUGCGUUUUAUAACACAGAAGAGACAUGACACACUGCAAUUGGCCAGUAACCCGUGUUUAAGUAGGCAGAAGGCAGUUGUGCCCUAAAACAGCUAACCACAAUUAUCCAUAUAGGUAGAAUCAUCUUGGUCACUGAAAAUCAUAUACUGUAAUUAUCUUCAGCGUUUAAUCACAAUCUCUUCAAAUUGUGUAGGAAAAUAAACACUGAAGAAGAUUCAGGAGAGAAGUAAAUAGCAUUGACAAGUAUAUGGUGAAAAUUGGAUUAUUUGAUUAUUAUUGUCUCUAAACUUCCCAAUUGCCAUUCGUACAAUGAACCUCGUAUUUUGUUGCAAAAAAGCCAUGGACAACCAGGAACUACCUUGGUUUUAUUUUGUCAGUUUUCCCUUUUGCACUUACGAUUGUAAUAGUCGUAUCUUGUAAACCCAGGCUAGCCAGUUGCAAACUACCUUUGUAAUAGAAAGAUUUGUAAUUGUAGUGUAAUUUCCGUUUGCAUGAAAAGUUUUCAUUAGUAUUGGAACUAAACCAAGUCCGUUGACUACUUUCUAUCUGGAAAAUUUUGUUUCUAUUGAAAAAACACGAAUAUUCUUCUAAUUAGCUUAAGAAAAAGUAUGGCUUGUUUUAAUUGAACAAGAGAACAGUGUCUGUAAAAGUUCAAACGUUUUCCAUUGAAAAUAUCUAAUUUUAUUCUUCGUAUAGUCUGUUCCGGUGCUGCUUGUCAAUUUGUUCUCAUGAGUUCGACGUACCGGAUAACAGAUGAACAUUCCCGUCGUAGAUCAUAGAAUUUUUGUGUCGGUUUCCAUGAUAUUGUGUAAAUAGAAUGCAUAAACACGUGACGUCUGGGUUCAAGUAGCCUGGGCUUGAAAAAGCUUUAUUAUUGAGAAAAAUCUGCUUCGUUCGCACAUAUGCUAGUGAUCAAACAAAAUUUUCUAACCAGCAACCAAGUCAAAACAUGAAUAAAGGAGUCCAAAAAUAUACAUAAUCCUAGGCGUGUCAGAGAACUUAAAAAUGCAUCGUCUUGUACAAGGGACUAUAUAGCUCAAACUGUCUGUGUUUUUAGAAGAAUACGAUAUUAGGAAAUAGCUUGCUUAAAUAACUUGGGAAAAACUGAAUAUGUUCUCUUUUUGACAUAAUUUUUGGCUUUGAAACUGAAAAACGGAGAGAAUUGAGGCCGGUUCCUCGUACACAAAAUUUCGCGCGCAUUCAUAACAGAUUAGGAAACUUUUCCUUUCCACGAGCACAGGAAAUUUCACCACCGAAGCUCGAGAGUUGAAAGCGAUUAGAUCUCCCUGUGAAAUUGCUCGCAAGAGAACCAAUUGAUAGUCACUAAAAUGUGCUUUGUGACAAUGGGCCAACAACAUCAUGGCAUUGAAGUGAGUUUCGAUUCCACGUUGUAAUCAAUAUUAUAGAGGGCAUCGCCAAUUCUAGUAUGCCUCGAUGUAGUACACAUAGUGAUACUUUAAAACCUAUUGGUUCUCUUUUGGAGGCACCUUUAGCAAUUUCAUGGCCACCAAAAGCUAGGUUCUUCGCAAAUCUAAGGGUCCAUUUUUAAACCAAAGAAGCACUGCUGAUAAUGAAGUAUCUCUUAUCAGAAGAGGGAAUUGUUUCCGUGAAAAAAUGAGACAACUGGAACUCUGUAAAGCCCAGUCUCCAGCGAGAAAAGGUCUUGCGAAAUUUCGCUGCGAAAUACUUCACGCGAAAACAUCCUUUAAAUGAUUUUGUUUUCCUUACAACAUUGGAAGGUAAAAUUUGGAAGCGUGACAAAGGGAUAUGGACUGUGAUUGGCUGCUGAAGGAUUUUGCAAGCCCGAUCUCCAGUGAGAAAAAAAUCAGCGAAAUUCGAAAAAGUUCGCGCGAAAUACGUUCUGGGUAUGCCCAGUGAACUUUUGCUGGGAUUUCUCACGAAGAAUUUCUACGCAAAAAAAGGUUCAAAUGAGUUUUUCGCUUGCGGAAUUUUUCAGCAGCCAAUCAUAAUCCAUAUCCCUUUGUCACGCUUCCAAACUUUACAUUUUCCAAUGUCGCUAGGUCAACAAAAGCAUUCAAAGGAAUUUUCUCGCGUGAAGUAUUUCGCAGCAAAAUUCGCAAGACUUUUUCUCACUGGAGAUUGGGAUUGAGUUCCCGGGAUUGAGAUUCUGGUAGUAUUUGUGAAGCAGUUUUGGAACAUUUUGUACUUUGUGUGAAUCAAUUAAACGUCCAAGCUGUGUCUUUUUUCCUUUAAAUAACUAAGUGCCAUGUUUGUCAGAAUUUUUGAUUAUUCUUUUUCGUUCAUUUUGAUUAUCACAGAUGUGGAGCUUAGAUGUCAAAGACUCAUCAUUCGAAAGGUGUUGCGGAAUAGUAGGAUCGAAAUACAGAGAAACACUGUUUUUGACAUUUAUAUGCAGGGUGCAUUAUGCAUAAUCGACUGAUAUUAUUAUGUGAUAAGAAAAAUAUUGUAGAGAUAACUUAGGAGAAUUUCAUGAAAAAAAGUCUGUUAACUAAAAACACUUACAGGCAACGAGUCUUCCUGUAUUAAGUGCGUGUAUUUUAAUCAUAAUGUACCCGUCGAAAACUUUAUACCAUUUGUUUUACAGAAGGCCUUUGACCUAGUUAUUUUAAACGCGCUGCAAAACCAAUAGAUAACGUUUAAAUGUAACGCACUAGUUCGCUUUAGCUCCCCCUUCAGGUCAAUGAGCAAUGCACAACAGACUGGGUAACAACAUUCAUUCUUAACAUGCUGUUUGACGUUGGGUGACGUCAAAUGUAUGUUGACUUUAUGAAAAUUGUUGUUAACCAGCCUUUUGCAGUGUGCUCGAUGCUGUGUACACGCUUGAUAUAAACAGCAAAACGGGGUUACUCCAUCAAAUCUCACGCUGAAUGCGAUCAUCAAAUAAACGAUCAUCAUAAUUCUAGUGCGUAGAUCAGGAAGGCUCUAGGUUGCUACUCAGGGCUUCACGCAAAAGCACAUUCACAUUCAAGGCUAUUCGAUCGUCAAUCGCGGUGUCGAGGACAUGAGAUCUCUGAGUUGCUACUUUUAGUUUCAAGCCGAAUUUGAUCAUCAGGCACAUCUAAUAACUAUCAUCUUUGUUGGUGAUAUGAUAUUGUCUUGGUAAACAACUGGAGUAUAGAGGUUGUCUUUCGCAGAAAUUUCCUUUGGCCGUUGAAUUUUUUUACUUCCAAACCAGAGCCUAGCAUUUUUAAGAUUUGGAGAUACGCCAAAUCACAGAUGAAACUUUGCUACAAGUUUUAAGAGGUAGAAAGCGAAUGUGGUAAACUAAUCCAAUAACAACUUUGAAACGCGUAAAGGAGUUAACCUACUUUGCAGAGUCAAAAUCCUUAUUAUCAUUGGCUGAAUUCGUUAAGCAGCACUUGCUUCGUUCAUUCAUUGUCAGUUUCUAUUGACAUUUGAUGUGACGUCAUCAUAUACCAACAUUUUGCAUUUUCUAUAAGUAAAACAAUAGAUUGACACGCCAAAGUAAAAGCCAGUCUGGGGAAGCAAGCUGUGGAAAUUUUGCAUGUGAAUUGACACGCAAGAAGAAACAUAUGGCCUGAAGAUUCGUGUUGAAUGGAGUGCCAUGAGCUGUCCAAGUACUUGGCCAUCAUUCAGUGUCGUGUAUUCAUUAUUUCCAGCGAUAUUUUACACUGAAGCGUAGCAAACGCAGUGAUAUAAUCUAAUAUCUCAAAAAUCGGCACUGUAAUGUAUGGUUAAUGGCUGUGUUGACUUAACAAAGAGAUUGAUAACGGAAUCUAAAGUAAGGUGGCGAAGGCCCAGCUGCUUAACAAUGGAGUAUGCGCAGGGCGAGAUUAAAUGAAUCGUCAAGAUUGACGGCUUUGCAUUGUUUAGUUGUCCUUGUGAAGAGACCAUAGUCUUCUUUGCAAUAAGCAGUCGUGAUACUAGCUUCAAGGGUCAUUUACGCACUAGCCAUUUCGGAUAUAGACACUCAGUUUCGCGAUGAAGACAGUACUUUUUGCUUGCUUGUGUUGUGUGACUUUGUUAGCGUGCGUAGCAAGACCAAUGAACGAGAGUAAGAGACAGUUUCAAACGACUUGCACAUACUGGCGAUAUAAUCUUUGCGAUAACAUGUCGUCAAGAGAUCUUGCUGAAAGGAGACAGGGCGAAGGUGCAAGAAAAGGACGAAAUUUAAUAAAUGAAGAUUUUGAGCAGUUAGAGGCAGAUGAAAAAAGAAGCUCUUCAAGCCGGCAGACGAAGAAAGAACUCAUGAACACUUUGAUGGUUCUUGGCAAGCUUUUAGAGGAUAACUAAGAAUUGACUGCAAUAUGCAAUGGUUAGGGAAGAUGCUUAAGGAUAAACUGUAAGCCAAAACGACGAAUCGUAUAGCAAAAUAUUGUAAGAUAUAGUCUUAAUUUCAAUAGAAGAGAACCAAGCAAUCUA
Rhopilema esculentum is the source of this 4445-nucleotide non-coding RNA. The record is from RefSeq and is a predicted model, not a curated record. NCBI's taxonomy places the organism in Eukaryota, Metazoa, Cnidaria, Scyphozoa, Rhizostomeae, Rhizostomatidae.